AAUCAACGCUGGCGGCGCGCUUAACACAUGCAAGUCGCACGAGAAAGUGGAGCAAUCCAUGAGUAAAGUGGCGUACGGGUGAGUAACACGUGGAUAAUCUACCUUUUAGUGGGGAAUACCCCUGGGAAACCGGGGACAAUACCGCAUAAGCUCGUAAGAGGAAAGCAGCAAUGCGCUGAAAGAGGAGUCCGCGGCUGAUUAGCUAGUUGGCGGGGUAAUGGCCCACCAAGGCGAAGAUCGGUAGCCGGCCUGAGAGGGCACACGGCCACACUGGCACUGAAACACGGGCCAGACUCCUACGGGAGGCAGCAGUGGGGAAUCUUGCACAAUGGAGGAAACUCUGAUGCAGCGACGCCGCGUGAGCGAUGAAGCCCUUCGGGGUGUAAAGCUCUUUCGACGGGAACGAUAAUGACGGUACCCGAAGAAGAAGCUGCGGCUAACUACGUGCCAGCAGCCGCGGCAAUACGUAGGCAGCGAGCGUUGUUCGGAAUUACUGGGCGUAAAGAGUGUGUAGGCGGUGCUCUAAGUCUGUUGUAAAUCUCCCGGCUUAACUGGGAGGGUGCGGCGGAAACUGGAG
Molecule: ribosomal RNA, 577 nt
Filed under: uncultured bacterium
Lineage: Bacteria
Description: bacterial SSU rRNA
Rfam family: Bacterial small subunit ribosomal RNA
Source: RNAcentral